CUUGUACACACCGCCCGUCACACCACGAGAGUUUGCAACACCCGAAGUCGGUGGGUAACCGCAAGGAGCCAGCCGCCGAAGGUGGGCAGAUGAUUGGGGUG
Molecule: ribosomal RNA, 101 nt
Filed under: uncultured bacterium
Lineage: Bacteria
Description: partial 16S ribosomal RNA
Rfam family: Bacterial small subunit ribosomal RNA
Source: RNAcentral